This 622-nucleotide ribosomal RNA is filed under the name uncultured bacterium. RNAcentral describes it as "bacterial SSU rRNA". It matches the Rfam family "Bacterial small subunit ribosomal RNA", at positions 202 to 842 of the family's 1533-position model. The record is from RNAcentral.
GAAAGGAUUUAUUCGGUGCAGGAUGGGCCCGCAUCUGAUUAGCUAGUUGGUGAGAUAACAGCCCACCAAGGCGACGAUCAGUAGCCGACCUGAGAGGGUGACCGGCCACAUUGGGACUGAGACACGGCCCAAACUCCUACGGGAGGCAGCAGUGGGGAAUAUUGCACAAUGGGCGAAAGCCUGAUGCAGCAACGCCGCGUGAAGGAAGAAGGGUUUCGGCUCGUAAACUUCUAUCAACAGGGACGAAAGAAAUGACGGUACCUGAAUAAGAAGCCCCGGCUAACUACGUGCCAGCAGCCGCGGUAAUACGUAGGGGGCAAGCGUUAUCCGGAAUUACUGGGUGUAAAGGGUGAGUAGGCGGCAUGGUAAGCCAGAUGUGAAAGCCUUGGGCUUAACCCGAGGAUUGCAUUUGGAACUAUCAAGCUAGAGUACAGGAGAGGAAAGCGGAAUUCCUAGUGUAGCGGUGAAAUGCGUAGAUAUUAGGAAGAACACCAGUGGCGAAGGCGGCUUUCUGGACUGAAACUGACGCUGAGGCACGAAAGCGUGGGGAGCGAACAGGAUUAGAUACCCUGGUAGUCCACGCCGUAAACGAUGAGUGCUAGGUGUCGGGGAGGAAUCCCCG